CAAACACUGUAUAACAUUUAUACAAUAGUAUUUAUUUACAAUGUAUUACAUUAGUAUAUUGUACAUAUAACUGUAAUAAUAUGCUACAAUUAUAUAUACUAUAUAUAAUACUACAACCUGGAAAUAGGUAAUUUCUACUUAGCUGGACUCAGUACACAGACAAAAAUGACUCAGGAAAUAUUUAAAAUCAUGAAUUGUUAGUCUUAACUCACACAUUUGAAUAAAAAUUGGUCAGAGCAUACCAAAUUUUGGAGCUAAAAAUGGCAAACCAGUGAAUGACCAGUUGGUAGUUGAUGCCUCCAAAACAAAGCAGAAAAAGUUGCUGAGAAAAAGAGGGUAAUUGAUAAGCAACUUGUGUCAGGGUAAAGAAGGGUGUGGUCACGCACCCAGCUCCAGCUGGAGCACACCUGAGCCUAAUCUGUUCAUCUCCUGGUAACUGAGAGUCACUUGUCAAUGGUGAAUUUUAACAUAUAAAGGAAGUUUUGCUAUUGGUCCACUUGCAUAAUUCAUGUUCCCAUGUUUUUUCAUAUCACAAAACUGUUUCCUCUUACUGUAACCAUAUUCUGCCCACUUUCCAAAAUACAAGUCUCAUUUAUA
Molecule: long non-coding RNA, 597 nt
Filed under: Bos taurus (domestic cattle)
Lineage: Eukaryota; Metazoa; Chordata; Mammalia; Artiodactyla; Bovidae
Description: long non-coding RNA NONBTAT019258
Source: RNAcentral